RNAcentral lists this ribosomal RNA (850 nucleotides) under uncultured bacterium. RNAcentral's name for it is "bacterial SSU rRNA". It matches the Rfam family "Bacterial small subunit ribosomal RNA", at positions 49 to 906 of the family's 1533-position model. The record is from RNAcentral.
UUAGGCAUGCAAGUCGUGCGGCAGCAGGCCCCGCAAGGGGUGCUGGCGAGCGGCGAAAGGGAUAGUAAUGUGUGGAUACCUGCCCUGGGGACGGGGAUAGCUGCUGGAAACGGCAAUUAAUACCCGAUGAUGUCUCCGGACCAAAGGUGUAAUUCCGCCCUAGGAGGGGUCCACAUCCUAUNAGCUAGUUGGUGAGGUAACGGCUCACCAAGGCCACGAUGGGUAGCGGGUGUGAGAGCACGACCCGCAUCACUGGGACUGAGACACUGCCCAGACACCUACGGGUGGCUGCAGUCGAGGAUCUUCGGCAAUGAGCGAAAGCUUGACCGAGCGACGCCGCGUGCGGGAUGAAGGCCUUCGGGUUGUAAACCGCUUUCGGAGGGGAGGAAAUCUAGGGGGGAUCACCCUUCUAGUUGACCUAUCCUAGGAAGAAGGACGGGCUAAGUUCGUGCCAGCAGCCGCGGUAAUACGAACCGUCCAAACGUUAUUCGGAAUCACUGGGCUUAAAGGGUGCGUAGGCGGCCCGGUAAGUUGGGUGUGAAAUCCCUCGGCUCAACCGAGGAAUUGCGCCCAAAACUGUCGGGCUUGAGGAAGAUAGAGGUGAGCGGAACUUAGGGUGGAGCGGUGAAAUGCGUUGAUAUCCUAAGGAACACCGGUGGCGAAAGCGGCUCACUGGGUCUUUUCUGACGCUGAGGCACGAAAGCUAGGGUAGCGAAGAGGAUUAGAUACCCUCGUAGUCCUAGCCCUAAACGAUGAGCACUAGAUCGAAGGACACUCCAUAGUCUUUUGGUCGAAGCGAAAGUGUUAAGUGCUCCGCCUGGGGAAUAUGGUCCAAAGCCUGAACUCAAAG